Long non-coding RNA from Cucurbita moschata (crookneck pumpkin), 935 nucleotides. RefSeq lists it as uncharacterized. NCBI's taxonomy places the organism in Eukaryota, Viridiplantae, Streptophyta, Magnoliopsida, Cucurbitales, Cucurbitaceae. The record is from RefSeq and is a predicted model, not a curated record. The transcript has 3 exons.
ACUUAAUUUCAUCUCAAACCCACUUUACUUGUGGUUGUGUAUAGUGAUAAGAGAUAUCAACUAAAAUGAGUGGUGGGAAGGGUUCGAUUUUUUUGGCUUUCUUCUUCUUUCUCCUUGUCUCCUCCGAGUUGGCUGCAGCCAGGAAGCUAAUGGUGGCCGGAAAAAAUGCAGCGGCCAUACAUGAAGACCCCACCGUUUUCAGCAGCCCCGGCACACAAAACCCCGACAUGCAAAAUUGCUAUUGUUAUGGUGAUUGCAACUCUUGCAUAACCCCGGUUUGCGAUCCUUAUACACAAGACUGCCCUCCAUAGAACUGAAGUGGACACUAAGAUCAAACAUCAUGGAAACCAAAUAAACUAACCCACAACUACGUGGGUUUUAAUUACUAUCUAUCUUACCUUUGUUGUGUGUAUUCAAUCCUAUUUUUGUGGUUAUAAGUUUGGAGAUUUGUGUUUUAUGGGGAUGAUGUGUGGGUAUAAUUUGUAACUCAAUCAAUAGUACAUGUUUGUCACGGUGUGUGUGAGUGUUGCAAGAUGAGUGUCUUCCUUUGGAAAUGAGUUUUAUAGGAUAGUGUUAGGCGAUAUGAGUGUGCUAAUAUUGUGUCUCGUCCUUUGAAUCGAAGGUUGGUAUAUGUUGUUAUCUAGCAUGAUAUGUAGAAAUGACUCGACAUGGAGAUGGGAGGGUUCAUAUCUCAAUAAUACUUGGGUGGAGUCAUAAUCGAGACUUGUCAAUGAUAAAAUCUCUCAUAGAGUAGUUCUUGAUAAGCAUGCUCAAAUGAGAAACAAAGACCAAUAGCAUUCUAAGGCUCGGGAUGACAUCACAAAGUAUCGUGGGCCUCGAAAGUUCUUGGUUAGUAUAAUGCUUUGAUAAGCUCCAAAUUGCAUCAACAUGCCAUGAUAAACGUUAUAAUGUUUCAAAAGGGUUUAGUAAGUGCU